This 256-nucleotide ribosomal RNA is filed under the name uncultured bacterium. RNAcentral describes it as "partial 16S ribosomal RNA". It matches the Rfam family "Bacterial small subunit ribosomal RNA", at positions 524 to 777 of the family's 1533-position model. The record is from RNAcentral.
UACGGGGGGGGGCAAGCGUUGUUCGGAAUUACUGGGCGUAAAGGGCUCGUAGGCGGCCCACUAAGUCCGACGUGAAAUCCCCAGGCUUAACUUGGGAACUGCGUCGGAUACUGGUGGGCUUGAAUCCGGGAGAGGGAUGCGGAAUUCCAGGUGUAGCGGUGAAAUGCGUAGAUAUCUGGAGGAACACCGGUGGCGAAGGCGGCAUCCUGGACCGGUAUUGACGCUGAGUGAGCGAAAGCCAGGGGAGCAAACGGGG